RNAcentral lists this ribosomal RNA (1476 nucleotides) under uncultured bacterium. Its description in RNAcentral is "bacterial SSU rRNA". It matches the Rfam family "Bacterial small subunit ribosomal RNA". The record is from RNAcentral.
AGAGUUUGAUCAUGGCUCAGAAUGAACGCUGGCGGCGUGCUUAACACAUGCAAGUCGAACGAUGAAGCCUUAGCUUGCUAAGGUGGAUUAGUGGCGCACGGGUGAGUAAUAUAUAGAUAAUGUGCCUCUUAGUCUGGGAUAGCCAUUGGAAACGAUGAUUAAUACUAGAUACUCCUUCUUACUCUAAUGUAAGUUGGGAAAGUUUUUUCGCUAAGAGAUCAGUCUAUAUCGCAUCAGUUAGUUGGUGGGGUAAUGGCCUACCAAGACAAUGACGCGUAGCGGGUUUGAGAGGAUGAUCCGCCACACUGGUACUGAGACACGGACCAGACUCCUACGGGAGGCAGCAGUGAGGAAUAUUGCACAAUGGGGGAAACCCUGAUGCAGCAACGCCGCGUGGAGGAUGACGCAUUUCGGUGUGUAAACUCCUUUUAUAUGUCAAGAAAAUGACGGUAGCAUAUGAAUAAGCACCGGCUAACUCCGUGCCAGCAGCCGCGGUAAUACGGAGGGUGCAAGCGUUAUUCGGAAUCACUGGGCGUAAAGGACGCGUAGGCGGGACAGUAAGUCUGAUGUGAAAUCCUAUGGCUUAACCAUAGAACUGCAUUGGAAACUACUGACCUAGAGUAUGGGAGGGGGGAGAUGGAAUUAGUGGUGUAGGGGUAGAAUCCGUAGAGAUCAGAAAGAAUACCGAUUGCGAAAGGCGAUCUACUGGAACAUUAUUGACGCUCAGAUGCGAAAGCGUGGGGAGCAAACAGGAUUAGAUACCCUGGUAGUCACGCCUAAACGAUGCACACUAGUUGUUGCCUUGCUAGACAAGGCAGUAAUGCAGUUAACACAGUAAGUGUGCCGCCUGGGGAGUACGGUCGCAAGAUUAAAACUCAAAGGAAUAGACGGGGACCCGCACAAGCGGUGGAGCAUGUGGUUUAAUUCGACGAUACGCGAAGAACCUUACCUGGCCUUGACAUAGAAAGAACUUACUAGAGAUAGUUUGGUGCUAGCUUGCUAGAACUUUCAUACAGGUGCUGCACGGCUGUCGUCAGCUCGUGUCGUGAGAUGUUGGGUUAAGUCCCGCAACGAGCGCAACCCUCGUGUUUAGUUACUAACAGUUCGGCUGAGGACUCUAGACAGACUGCCUACGCAAGUAGGAGGAAGGUGAGGACGACGUCAAGUCAUCAUGGCCCUUACGGCCAGGGCUACACACGUGCUACAAUGGGGCAUACAAAGAGCCGCAAUACCGUGAGGUGGAGCAAAUCUCAUAAAAUGCCUCCCAGUUCGGAUUGUAGUCUGCAACUCGACUACAUGAAGUUGGAAUCGCUAGUAAUCGUAGAUCAGCUAUGCUACGGUGAAUACGUUCCCGGGUCUUGUACUCACCGCCCGUCACACCAUGGGAGUUGAUUUCAUUCGAAGCGGGGAUGCUAAAAUAGCUACCUUCCACAGUGGAAUUAGCGACUAGGGUGAAGUCGUAACAAGGUAGCCGUA